This 78-nucleotide small nucleolar RNA is filed under the name Leersia perrieri. Its description in RNAcentral is "Small nucleolar RNA Z163/Z177 family". It matches the Rfam family "Small nucleolar RNA Z163/Z177 family". Rfam says of the family: This family of plant snoRNAs belong to the C/D class of snoRNA which contain the C (UGAUGA) and D (CUGA) box motifs. This family includes rice snoRNA Z163 and Z177. Lineage: Eukaryota; Viridiplantae; Streptophyta; Magnoliopsida; Poales; Poaceae. The record is from Rfam by way of RNAcentral.
UGGCCAGUGAUGAAACUUGAGUUGUAUAGAUACUCUGGUGAGUUAAAUGAAAUGCAGUUGACACACUCUCUGAGGCCA